AAAACGACUCUCGGCAACGGAUAUCUCGGCUCUCGCAUCGAUGAAGAAACGCAGCGAAAUGCGAUACUUGGUGUGAAUUGCAGAAUCCCGCGAACCAUCGAGUCUUUGAACGCAAGUUGCGCCCAAAGCCUUUUGGCCGAGGGCACGUCUGCCUGGGUGUCACGCAACAU
RNAcentral lists this ribosomal RNA (170 nucleotides) under Croton cf. lundellii van Ee 123. Its description in RNAcentral is "5.8S ribosomal RNA". It matches the Rfam family "5.8S ribosomal RNA". From Rfam's summary of the family: 5.8S ribosomal RNA (5.8S rRNA) is a component of the large subunit of the eukaryotic ribosome. Lineage: Eukaryota; Viridiplantae; Streptophyta; Magnoliopsida; Malpighiales; Euphorbiaceae. The record is from RNAcentral.